UCAGAGCGAACGCUGGCGGCAGGCUUAACACAUGCAAGUCGAACGGGCACUUCGGUGCUAGUGGCAGACGGGUGAGUAACACGUGGGAACGUACCUUUCGGUUCGGAAUAAUUCAGGGAAACUUGGACUAAUACCGGAUACGCCCUUCGGGGGAAAGAUUUAUCGCCGAUAGAUCGGCCCGCGUCUGAUUAGCUAGUUGGUGAGGUAAAGGCUCACCAAGGCGACGAUCAGUAGCUGGUCUGAGAGGAUGAUCAGCCACAUUGGGACUGAGACACGGCCCAAACUCCUACGGGAGGCAGCAGUGGGGAAUAUUGGACAAUGGGCGCAAGCCUGAUCCAGCCAUGCCGCGUGAGUGAUGAAGGCCUUAGGGUUGUAAAGCUCUUUUGUCCGGGAAGAUAAUGACUGUACCGGAAGAAUAAGCCCCGGCUAACUUCGUGCCAGCAGCCGCGGUAAUACGAAGGGGGCUAGCGUUGCUCGGAAUCACUGGGCGUAAAGGGCGCGUAGGCGGACUUUUAAGUCGGAGGUGAAAGCCCAGGGCUCAACCCUGGAAUUGCCUUCGAUACUGGGAGUCUUGAGUUCGGAAGAGGUUGGUGGAACUGCGAGUGUAGAGGUGAAAUUCGUAGAUAUUCGCAAGAACACCGGUGGCGAAGGCGGCCAACUGGUCCGAAACUGACGCUGAGGCGCGAAAGCGUGGGGAGCAAACAGGAUUAGAUACCCUGGUAGUCCACGCCGU
RNAcentral lists this ribosomal RNA (733 nucleotides) under Hyphomicrobiales bacterium. RNAcentral describes it as "bacterial SSU rRNA". It matches the Rfam family "Bacterial small subunit ribosomal RNA", at positions 24 to 803 of the family's 1533-position model. The record is from RNAcentral. Lineage: Bacteria; Pseudomonadati; Pseudomonadota; Alphaproteobacteria; Hyphomicrobiales.